AAAAAAAAAAAAAAAAAAAACCUUGCACAGCUUAGUUGCUGCUGUCUCCCUCCCAGAGUGACAUGGUGAUCCGGGCUUGUCCUGUCCUUUCAUUCACUUCCCCUCCUUCCAGCGGGUGGGUGGAACCGAGAGAGCCUCUCCAGGGAGCGGCGUAUGCAGUCCAGAAGGCUGCAGUAUUUCCUCCAAGAAAAAAAAAAAAAAAGGCUGCUUCAACCCCUGCUGCAAGCAAAGUUCCGAUUCCCUCUGCUGGCUAUCUCGAAUAGCAAAGCGAUUUUUGCAGCGAAGCUGCUGCCGCUGGAACUGAACCGGGGGACUCAGAUGCGGGCGGUGGAUUGCUUCUUAUCCUUCCCUCCAUCGACUCCACGGAAGAGCUGCCUUCUCCCCUUUUCGUGCCAAGUUUAAAGCCCACUCGUCUCUGAUGAAAGCACCUGCUGAUAUAGAGGAAACAUCUUGGAAGGCUGAGCACAACUUCCUUAAAUAGUCACCUGGACCAGCCAUUGAUUUGUCCUGAAAAAAGGGGGCAGAUACAGAGGGAAGUCAGUCUGUCUGUCAGUGUGAUGGAUUCCCAUCAAACUGCAGUCUGGAAAGGACUGAGCUUCUCAAGACUUUAAUGUGAUUUAUUCUCCACUGAAGGGAUGUGAUUUUUAUAUCAGGUAUGGCUUUCCUUUAGUAUUUUUUUUUUAAAUGCCUGCCUUUGAAAUGACUCCUACAAUGAAGAUCCUCACCACUUGCCCUUGUUAAAUAUCUGGUGAUCCUUUUCCCCGGCAGAUGGGAAGGGCCUCCUGAUAUGCCCCUGGCCUCAUUUCAAUUUGGGUAAUUGCAUCCUGUCGACUUGAAAUGUCCCCAUCAGUUUCAUCGGCCGGGGAUCCGAGGCCUCAUUCUCAGUCCUGACUGCCUGGUGUGCCGUCGGAGGCUGGGAACAGCUGGUGCAUUCCAGCCCAGAAGUGGAUGCAUUUCAGUGGCAGGUGCAAAGGUUUUCUUUGGCCGAAUACAAAUUCUAAGCUAGGAAUAAGCUUCAAGGAUGCUUUUUUAUUUUUUCAAUAAACAGAAGUAACUACCAGGAAACCAAAAAUAUAAAAGUAUCCAAAGCGUAAAUGUGAAUUGGGAGGAAAAUAAAUACACAUGC
Long non-coding RNA from Eptesicus fuscus (big brown bat), 1126 nucleotides. RefSeq lists it as uncharacterized. NCBI's taxonomy places the organism in Eukaryota, Metazoa, Chordata, Mammalia, Chiroptera, Vespertilionidae. The record is from RefSeq and is a predicted model, not a curated record. The transcript has 4 exons.